RNAcentral lists this ribosomal RNA (641 nucleotides) under uncultured fungus. RNAcentral's name for it is "eukaryotic LSU rRNA". It matches the Rfam family "Eukaryotic large subunit ribosomal RNA", at positions 24 to 664 of the family's 3401-position model. Lineage: Eukaryota; Fungi. The record is from RNAcentral.
CCCGCUGAACUUAAGCAUAUCAAUAAGCGGAGGAAAAGAAACUAACAAGGAUUCCCCUAGUAACUGCGAGUGAAGCGGGAAGAGCUCAAAUUUAAAAUCUGGCGUGCCUCUGGCCGUCCGAGUUGUAGUCUGGAGAAGCGUCUAUCCGCGUCGGACCGUGUACAAGUCUUCUGGAAGGGAGCGUCGUAGAGGGUGAGAAUCCCGUCUUUGACACGGACAACCGAUGCUUUUGUGAUGCGCUCUCGAAGAGUCGAGUUGUUUGGGAAUGCAGCUCAAAAUGGGUGGUAAAUUCCAUCUAAAGCUAAAUAUUGGCGAGAGACCGAUAGCGAACAAGUACCGUGAGGGAAAGAUGAAAAGCACUUUGGAAAGAGAGUUAAACAGUACGUGAAAUUGUUGAAAGGGAAACGUUUGAAGUCAGUCGCGUCGGCCGAGACUCAACCUUGCGCUCGCGCUCGGUGCACUUCUCGGUUGACGGGUCAGCAUCAAUUUCGACCGCCGGACAAAGGUUGGGGGAAUGUGGCAUCCUUCGGGAUGUGUUAUAGCCCUUGAUUCACAUACGGCGAUUGGGAUUGAGGAACUCGGCGCCUCGCGCGUCCAGGAUGCUGGCAUAAUGGCUUUAAGCGACCCGUCUUGAAACACGG